UGUGGCUUUUACCUGGUUAAAGGUUUUAUCGUAUCCACACGGAAACGGGAAAACCAACUACACUCUAACUUAACCAAGAUAGAUAGAUACUGUAAAUAGGAAAGAUGGUAGAACUGAAUAAGAACAAUAUUAAAGGUAAGAUAACAAUGGAUGAUAAUAUGGGAAUAGAGAGUAGAGCAAUCUAGUAUAUGGGCAAUGGUAGGAGAAUAGAGAGGAUAACUAUGGUUUCUCUACUUCAAAGGGGUAUGUCUAUGUCUAGGACGAACCACGUGAUAAGAAUACACCACAAAGGAUGCUUAUCCAUAGGCCGAUAAAUCCUACCAGUCCUACUAAUGGGAGGUGGACUACAGGGGACCAACAUAGCUGUCACCUACGCGGCCUACCACACGAUCCGGCUAGACAGGGGAUAUCCACAAGUAAUCUAGGUCUAAGCACAACGCUUACACAUAUACUACAACUCUCACCUAUAGCGUCCUAUAGAUUAAAGUACUCAAAAGAGUUGUGAACCAGAACAUACAUGGAUAGUAAUUGCAUAAUGAAAUAAGAAGUAGAUUACCAGAGUCAUCCCAUGAGCAAGAUUGAUUAGAGCUUGAUCACGGCGAAGUACAACAGGAGGAAGAACCGACAGGCCGGCCUCUCCUCCAAUCCUCCCUCGCUCUCCAUCUCGCUACUAUCUAGAUCUAAUCUAGUUUAGAUAAGAGAGGAGAGCUCUCAUCUCCAAACUCUAGCUUUUGCUCUAUCUAUGAAUAAUGAAUAGGGAUCAAGGGGGUCUCUCCUCCAGGGGCCAGGGGGCCUGCUUAUAUAGUCCCCUCAAGUGAAUCUGGGCCAUCGGAUCAAGCGGACAUUAAUCGCACGGUUUUCCUUGAUCCUUUAGGUCAGUGGAGCAUGAUUUGCGAAGUAGAACGUGAUUGGCCGAAACACCAGGGCGGGCGCCCAAGGGGGGAGGGUGGGCACCCUAUCCCCGAGCCCGCUCGGCUUCCCGUUCGUUCCCGUGGCUUUUGGAGUCUUCUAGAUGAUAGAAAAUUGCACGGCACGUUAAUAUCUCUAUGUAAACCCGACAUGUGGGCCUUUCCUCCAUAUUUCCUAAUAACCCCCUGCAGAAAUAGACAAACACCAAAACUCGUAGAAUUCUGUCAGAUAAAACCCUAAGUCUGGGUGUUGGUUGCAUUUGGUGAUUAAAUUUGGUAUGUAAGGACCGUCAACAUCCACCUGAGCGAAAAAAUGGACAAGUGUCCGACAGUAGAAUUUGGGGUAUUCGCUACCCACCUGAAAAAAAAGAAGAAAAAGAAGAAAAAAAGAUAGCCCAUGUUCUCCCAAAGCAAAGAUCAAAGAGGAGGAGAGAUAGCAAUAUGAGGAGCAAUGAGAAGUAAGUUUUAUCAUUACUUAUAUUUUCACCAUUACUAUCAUUUACUCCACCACACAUGCACAUCUUGAUUUAAUUACAUGUUAAGCUCCUUUGGAUCCAUGGCUCGAUUAGACAACAUAUGUAUGAGCUGUUUUUCACUCCUAUGAGCUCCACUUAAAUAUUCCCUUAGUUAUAGGUAAGUGACAUUUUGGUAAGGAUCCACAAAUACCAUAUAUAGAGAGAUUUGAGAGUAUCAUAGCUGGGAACUCUGAGUUUUAUUUUUGAAAACUUAUGCAAAACUCCAGAACAAAGGUGAAGUAUAAAUAGGAGGAAUAGUGCUUGACUUAAUUAUUUUGUCUUUCAAUUACUCAAGACUUAAGUGCAGGUACUAAGCUCCAUGACACUUCACUCUAACCUGGGAGAACUUUUAUAAAAGCAUGUGUGCCUGUUAGGAAAGAAAACAUCGAAGCAACUCUUGACCCAUCUGAGUUUAGCUGUU
Molecule: long non-coding RNA, 1844 nt
Filed under: Sorghum bicolor (sorghum)
Lineage: Eukaryota; Viridiplantae; Streptophyta; Magnoliopsida; Poales; Poaceae
Description: long non-coding RNA (SBIC_LNC008774)
Source: RNAcentral